CCAAUAGCGUAUAUUAAAGUUGUUGCAGUUAAAAAGCUCGUAGUUGAAUUUCGGGGUUUGUCAGUUGGUCGGGCUUCACUGUCCGUACUGACUUGAUGGAUCCCUACCUUCUGAAUAACCAGCAUGCUAUUAAGUUAGUGCGUUGGGGAAGAAGAUCUAUUACCUUGAAAAAAUAAGAGGGCUUAAAGCAAGCUAGUGCUUGAAUGGUUUAGCAUGGAAUAAUAAAAUAGGACGGCAUGGUUCUAUUUUGUUGGUUUCUAGGAUCACCGUAAUGAUUAAUAGGGAUAGUUGGGGGCAUUAGUAUUCAAUUGUCAGAGGUGAAAUUCUUGGAUUUAUUGAAGACUAACUUCUGCGAAAGCAUUUGCCAAGGAUGUUUUCAUUAAUCAAGAACGAAAGUUAGGGGAUCGAAGACGAUCAGAUACCGUCGUAGUCUUAACCAUAAACUAUGCCGACUAGGAAUCGGACGAUGUUAAUUUUUUAAUGACUCGUUCGGCACCUUACG
Molecule: ribosomal RNA, 502 nt
Filed under: uncultured Glomeromycotina
Lineage: Eukaryota; Fungi; Glomeromycota
Description: partial small subunit ribosomal RNA
Rfam family: Eukaryotic small subunit ribosomal RNA
Source: RNAcentral